CCCUUAGAUGUCCUGGGCCGCACGCGCGUUACACUGAUGCAUUCAACGAGCUUAUAACCUUGGCCGAGAGGCCUGGGCAAUCUUGUUAACGUGCAUCGUGAUAGGGAUAGAUUAUUGAAAUUAUUAAUCUUGAACGAGGAAUUCCUAGUAAACGCAGAUCAUCAAUCUGCAUUGAUUACGUCCCUGCCCUUUGUACACACCGCCCGUCGCACCUACCGAUUGGAUGGUCCGGUGAAGCCUCGGGAUUGUGGUUCUUGCCGCUUUAUUGUGGCGUGACCGCGAGAACAUGUCUAAACCUUAUCAUCUAGAGGAAGGUGAAGUCGUAACA
This 328-nucleotide ribosomal RNA is filed under the name uncultured eukaryote. RNAcentral describes it as "partial 18S ribosomal RNA". It matches the Rfam family "Eukaryotic small subunit ribosomal RNA", at positions 1470 to 1796 of the family's 1831-position model. The record is from RNAcentral.